CCGGCCACCAGCGCCACCAGCACCACCGCACAGAGCACCAGCCACCAAUCGCUGCCCAAUAUGGCGGCCGCCUUCGCCACGCUUCUCACUCUACUGGCAGUCCAGCAGGCUGCCGUCCUGGCAAAGGACCUCUCAUGGGGUCACCGCCACCAUAAGUCACCCACUGUCGUCGAGGUCGUGAGGUACGGGCAGGCCUGCCCGUGCGCCAAGACGCUGCCGUUCGAGCUGGAGGUGCCGGUGCAGCCCAAGGAGCCCGUGCUGCACACGUACGGCUACGAGGUGCAGGC
Long non-coding RNA from Schistocerca gregaria, 287 nucleotides. RefSeq lists it as uncharacterized. The record is from RefSeq and is a predicted model, not a curated record. The transcript is spliced from 3 exons. NCBI's taxonomy places the organism in Eukaryota, Metazoa, Arthropoda, Insecta, Orthoptera, Acrididae.